AGAACUUUGAAUUCCAAAUUUGAUAAACAAUAUAAAGAAAAACAAAGGCAGUGGCAGAGAAACAGUAGAAAAAAAGGAAGAAAGAUAAAAAAGAAGUUGGGUUGAAUAAGGACUUAGAAUCGAACAAAAACAGCUCAAAAAUUCAAAUGAGAACAGAUCUGUGACUGUGUCAGAUUCCAGAUCUACAGUGAGAAAACCUGCACAAC
Molecule: long non-coding RNA, 206 nt
Filed under: Mytilus galloprovincialis (Mediterranean mussel)
Lineage: Eukaryota; Metazoa; Mollusca; Bivalvia; Mytilida; Mytilidae
Source: RNAcentral